UACGACACAUACAUAGUUAUUAUUUUUUUUCUUUGUGGAGUAUUAUUGCUAGUUACUCUAUCUUUCAUUGAAAUCAAUCUAAUGCCAAAAUUUAGAUAAUACGUAGGUGAGUUUCAACCAUGAAUAUUGUGACUCAUCUUAAGCUAAUUUUUUUUAGAUGCGUCCACCAAUCAUUAUAGGCGGUCAUACUUAUGGGAGAAUUCCAA
RNAcentral lists this long non-coding RNA (206 nucleotides) under Capsella rubella. Its description in RNAcentral is "long non-coding RNA (CRUB_LNC005026)". The record is from RNAcentral. Lineage: Eukaryota; Viridiplantae; Streptophyta; Magnoliopsida; Brassicales; Brassicaceae.